This 384-nucleotide ribosomal RNA is filed under the name uncultured soil bacterium. Its description in RNAcentral is "bacterial SSU rRNA". It matches the Rfam family "Bacterial small subunit ribosomal RNA", at positions 26 to 414 of the family's 1533-position model. The record is from RNAcentral.
AGAUUGAACGCUAGCGGGAUGCUUUACACAUGCAAGUCGAACGGCAGCGCGGACUUCGGUCUGGCGGCGAGUGGCGAACGGGUGAGUAAUAUAUCGGAACGUGCCCAGUAGCGGGGGAUAACUACGCGAAAGCGUGGCUAAUACCGCAUACGCCCUACGGGGGAAAGGGGGGAUCGCAAGACCUCUCACUAUUGGAGCGGCCGAUAUCAGAUUAGCUAGUUGGUGAGGUAAAGGCUCACCAAGGCGACGAUCUGUAGCUGGUUUGAGAGGACGACCAGCCACACUGGGACUGAGACACGGCCCAGACUCCUACGGGAGGCAGCAGUGGGGAAUUUGGACAAGUGGGGGAAACCUGAUCCAGCCAUCCCGCGUGUGCGAUGAAGG